GCUUUCUCUACUCUCAAUUUUAAAUUUUGAUGUAAAUAUAAUAAACACAAAAAAAAAAUAUUGAUAACUUGUAUCAUAAUUUUAAAGUUUUAAUGAUUCUAAUGAUUAAGUAACUUGUUGUAAUUAACAUUGGUCCUUGGAAUUGGGAAAGGCCAUAUUAUUAAAAUAAUGUUAUUGUGAUUCUUAUAUAUGGGAUCUUCUCAAAGUUUACAUUUAUUACAAUUGGGUAAAUCACUGUUAUUAUGUUUAGUUCCUAAAAUUAUUAAAUAUCAUGAUAUUGUAAUUCUCAUAGUUUUUUUUUUUUUAAAAAUUAGAUUUUCCCUUAUUAUGCUAACAAGUAAUACCAUUUGUAAUUUCAUCCUACCCUGUUAAUUAAUUUCAAUUUUGGAGCAGACAAAACUAGUUUUUAGUAUGAUAGUCAAACAAUUUCACAAAUUUAUCGUUGUCUCAAGCCUUUGGUUUAACAGUCAAAUAAUUUAAAAAAAUAUAUUGUUGUUUUACUACCGAGGGUAUUUUAAGAAAGGUAAAUGAAUUUUAACAAUGAAAUUAUAUAGAAUUCAAUUGAAUUUCAUAUUUUAACAUUGAUUUCGAUUGCAGUAAUAUGACUCAAGAGAAUCAAAUAUUAAUUUCUUAUUGAACCAAACUAGGAAAAGUAUUCAUUCUGAUUUUGAUUCCCAAAUUUAAACCGAGCAGGCCCUUAUACAAUUUUUUUACAUGAAAGUUUGCCCCCCUUAAUCUCAAAUCCUGGCUUUGCAUAAGUGACAAUCAAAUUUUAAUUUGUAAGACAAAUCAAGGUUUGUGGUGGGUUACUAUUAUGACAACACAUCAGCCAUGACUGUAAACAACAAAGAAACUGAGGAAAACUUGCAUCUCAAGACAUGCCAACUUUAGCAACCAACCUUGUCUAUUAUGAUGCAAACCUUGCCAAACAAAUUUUCAGAUAUGGAAUAGCACCUCAAUACUUCCUGCAGAACCUUUCAAAAGAAGAAAGCACUCCAAAUGUUAAUAUAUAUGAUGUCCAGUAUGCAUUAUGCACUAAUUCUGCAUGAAAAUUUCAAUUCAAUACUAAAUAAACACCAUUCUUAUUACUAUCAUGCAGGAAGAAACCAUCACUGUAGCAUUAUCAAAUUAUGUUUAUUCAUCCACAGGAGUCUAAAAUGCUGGAACAAGUGCAGUAUAUUAUCUCAAGCUGCACUCUAAUCCCCACUGAAGGAUACCAUCCAUGGUAAAAUAGCCAUUUCAUGAAUUUCUAACAGAAGAAACUACCAGAAGAUGAACUAUUCCUGAAUUCCAUCAACCACUAUUCUGCAAUAUCAUCUUUAGUAAUUAAGAUACAUGAGCCCUUUUUUAUUUCUUAUUGUGUUUGAAGAUAUUUGCUUAAGUUGUUCCUUUUUUUUUUUUUUUU
Molecule: unclassified non-coding RNA, 1405 nt
Filed under: Hevea brasiliensis (rubber tree)
Lineage: Eukaryota; Viridiplantae; Streptophyta; Magnoliopsida; Malpighiales; Euphorbiaceae
Source: RNAcentral